Non-coding RNA from Salmo salar (Atlantic salmon), 2562 nucleotides. The record is from RefSeq and is a predicted model, not a curated record. NCBI's taxonomy places the organism in Eukaryota, Metazoa, Chordata, Actinopteri, Salmoniformes, Salmonidae.
AUGUGAGAUAAGGAGCGCGGGAGCAUUGGUAAUGUAGUUCCCAGGUACCUACGCCCCCUUUUGACCCAAACCGCUAGCCAAACUGCAAACGACUACAUUUCCCGACCAAUCAUGCAUAUAUCCAGGAAGUCAGAUCCCGCAAGCUGGUUGCUUCGUCGUUGCCAAGUUGCCAACAUAAAACAGAAUGGCAAAUGGGUUCUUUAGAUGUUUUGAAUGCAAUAAGGACGCUCACGAGCUUCGCAAAGAUUACAGUAAUGGAAUCUUGAAGAUAACAAUAUGUGUAAAUUCAUUAACACUUCCAUUGUUUAACACCUCCCAAAUUUGAACUGCAAAUGGAUUAACAACACCCCUCCCAAUUUGCCAGGAAUCCUUCCAAAGGCCUGUGGACAAGUACAUUGAAUAUGAUCAGUCAUUAUUCUGAUUGGUGCCAUUUUAUGCUAAACUCAAGCCUUCACACACAUUCUGUUCAACAUUACAUUGAACAUUCACUAGAAGCUGUGUGUGGUUUGCCUGCUGUGUGAGUCCUACCUGAGGUGGUCACAAAUUCAGGGAUCUGAACAGAACAAUGACCCUGCAGACAUCAUUAGAUACACCAACGAAUGGGAAUGUUUGGAAUGGCAGCUCUUGGUGUAUUGCUCAUGGAAAAAGCACAUUAUUACUAUAACAACUCAUGCACUCAUCAACAAACAUGCAUAUGACAAUGUUAAUAUCAAUGUUAUAACAAUGUUUCCAAGUGUUGUUGAAGUGACAAAUUCUGCUUUCUUUUCACAAUGAUUCCAUACAAAUGACAGUCUUCUGCUGGUUGGUACUGAUUUCAUGUUUAUUUGUCCACAGAAUUGGGUGCGUUCUCUGUCGGAGUGCUGUCCUUCCUUUAGCUGGUUUAGAUGCUGCUUGGCUAUGACUUUGAACUGAGCUUAAUGCUGAAAGCCAUCCUGCUGUCCAGCUAUGGCAACAUUCUGCUCAUCCCGAUACUCAUAUGGGAGCAUGACUAUUCCCCGCUCUGUUUCAGCUUCAUCAAGCUGUUUGUGCUCACGUACCUCUGAUGCCCUGAGAGUUAGACAUUAGCCAACUCCUCCCUCAGUGUACAAAUGCUCCCAUUAGUCACUCGCAUUUAGCGCCAUCUCUGUUCCUGUCAAUUCAGCGAAUGAAUUGGAGUGAAAAUGGAUUGAAAAGUUCUCAUAACUCAUUAUUGAUACUAGUAAAUAACCUACUUCACACAUCGAGCCCCAUAUCUAUCUACUUUUCACAUCAGUCAUGUUUUAUUCAAUUAGAAACCAUCAGCUCACAGGGUAAUGAUUGGUAGCAGGAGCAUUGAUGUGCACCAGCAGAUGGCAGCUCUUACUCCUAGCUUGAAAAUCAAUGUUCGAACAUGAAUUCUGUUAUUCCCUAGAGUUACUAAAUAGUUAUAAAUAGUCCCAAAAUUGUCCAAAACGAAUCCAUUCAUUCACUAAAACUGCAUUACCAUUAUGCUUUAUGUUUUUUUUCACCCAACAAUCAGGCCCACAAAGCAAGCACUAGUCUCUUUGUGGCCCUGUGUUUUUUCACAAUACACAGGGUAAUGGCCCUUGUUGUGCUGCUGGUCCAGUUUUUGCAUUUCUGCCUGCGGCUAUGGAACCCUGACCUCUUCAACAGUUGUGCUACCUUGUCCCAGAACUGCGGUUUCCACCCCCCUCUACUGCACAUACUGUCUCAACCUCUAAAUGCUCGGCUAUGGAAAGCCAACUGACAUUUACUCAUGAGGUGCUGAUCUGUUGCAUCCUCUAUAACCGACAUGAUUAUUAUUUGACCCUGUUGGUCAUCUAUGAAUGUUUGAACAUCUUGAAGAACGAUCUGGCUUUAAUGGCCGUGUACUAUAUUCUCCACCCGGCACAGCCAGAAGAGGACUUGCCACCCCUCAGAGCCUGGUUCCUCUCAAGGUUUUUUCCUAGGUUCCUGCCUUUCUAGUGAGUUUUUCCUAGCCGCUGUGCUUCUACAUCUGCAUUGUUUGCUCUUUGGGUUUUAGGCUGGGUUUCUGUUUAAGCACGUUGCGACAACUGCUGAUAUAAAUAGGGCUUUAUGAAUACAUGUGAUUGAUAUUGGAUUUCUGUAGAAUUCAUAGUUUAUUGUACUGAUGGCAGUAUUUCUCAAUUCUACAGCAAGUAGGAGAUUAAUAUGAUGUAAAGUUGUUAAAAACAAGUACUUUUCCUGCAUAUUGUCAUGUUUGUGUUCUGAUCAUUUCCUCUCUUCUCCAGUCAUUCUAUACUGCAGCAGAAGGCUCUCCCUGCUGGCUGUGUGUGUGGGUCUGCUAUUGGAGACGUGCAUAGCCCAGGCAUUUCAGACACUUCCAUGGAGCAUACAGGACAUCCUGCCGUUCCAGUGACCUGUUUCAGGCCGGUCCUAAAGAACACACUGUUACAAUGGCGCCUAUUAUACCCGGGACCAGAGAGCGGUGAGGGGAAACUAUCAGUGCUGUGUGGAGUGUGCCUAGUCAUAUAGUCAAACCCUGACAAAAACCUCUCUGUUGGUAUUGGAGUUAAUAAGGAUACUGGGCAUUCCUGAGGCUAUUUGUGAAAUACCUACCAC